GUUAGGUUGCGGGGUUAGCAGGUGGGGUUAGGGGUUAGGGGUUAGAAGGUGGGGUUAGGGUUAGGGGUUAGGAUUAGGGUUAGGGUUUGAGUUAGGAUUAGCGUUUGGAUUAAUUGUAAAUCCAUUGUAACCAAUACUUUAUUGCAUACAAUGGCAUUACAACGCCAAUAAAUUAUUGGUUACAACGUGCGGAACGGCUGGUCUUCUGGAUUGUCUAAGCUUUGCCUAACCUUCCAACAACUCAAAUCUAUAGGGUCUGGGAUACGCUAUCCACUGGGAAAUGUUUAAAAUCUAAGGUAUUCACAACACAAUGUUUAGCAUUUUUGAGACGACAUUGAAUCAUUUGAAGAUAACAGACACGAC
Non-coding RNA from Paramuricea clavata, 363 nucleotides. The record is from the annotation of a GenBank genome assembly. NCBI's taxonomy places the organism in Eukaryota, Metazoa, Cnidaria, Anthozoa, Malacalcyonacea, Plexauridae.